GAUGAACGCUGGCGGCGUGCCUAAUACAUGCAAGUCGAGCGAACAGACGAGGAGCUUACUCCUCUGACGUUAGCGGCGGACGGGUGAGUCACACGUGGAUACCCUACCUAUAAGACUGGGAUCACUUCGGGAAACCGGAGCUAAUACCGGAUAACAUGUUGAACCGCAUGGGUCAACAGUGAGAGACGGUCUUGCUGUCACUUAUAGCUGGAUCCGCGUCGCAUUAGCUAGUUGUUAAGGUAACGGCCUACCAAGGCAACGAGGCGUAGACGACCUGCGAGGGGGAUAGGCCACACUGGAACGGAGACACGGACAAGACGCCUGCGGGAGGCAGCAGAAGGGAAUGUGCCGCAAUGGUCGAGAGCCUGACGGAGCAAGGCCGCGUGAGAGAAGAAGGUCUUGGGUUCGUAAAACUCUGUUAUUAGGGAAGAACAAAUGUGUAAGUAACUAUGCACGUCUUGACGGUACCUAAUCAGAAAGCCACGGCUAACUACGUG
This 497-nucleotide ribosomal RNA is filed under the name uncultured bacterium. Its description in RNAcentral is "partial 16S ribosomal RNA". It matches the Rfam family "Bacterial small subunit ribosomal RNA", at positions 28 to 507 of the family's 1533-position model. The record is from RNAcentral.